AACGAACGCUGGCGGCGCGCCUAAUACAUGCAAGUCGAGCGAGAAGACGUAGCAAUACGUUUGUAAAGCGGCGAACGGGUGAGGAAUACAUGGGUAACCUACCCUCGAGUGGGGAAUAACUAGCCGAAAGGUUAGCUAAUACCGCGUACGCUCCUUGGACUUCGGUUCAGGGAGGAAAGCGAUACCGUGGGUAUCGCGCUCUUGGAUGGGCUCAUGUCCUAUCAGCUUGUUGGUGAGGUAACGGCUCACCAAGGCUUCGACGGGUAGCUGGUCUGAGAGGACGAUCAGCCACACUGGCACUGCGACACGGGCCAGACUCCCACGGGAGGCAGCAGUGAGGAAUAUUGGUCAAUGGACGAAAGUCUGAACCAGCAACGCCGCGUGAGGGAUGAAGCACCAAGGUGUGUAAACCUCUGUUAGAGGGGACGAACGAUCCCGAUCUUCGGGAUGUGACGGUACCCUCAGAGAAAGCCCCGGCUAACUCCGUGCCAGCAGCCGCGGUAA
Molecule: ribosomal RNA, 504 nt
Filed under: uncultured bacterium
Lineage: Bacteria
Description: bacterial SSU rRNA
Rfam family: Bacterial small subunit ribosomal RNA
Source: RNAcentral